This 5242-nucleotide long non-coding RNA is filed under the name Podarcis lilfordi (Lilford's wall lizard). Lineage: Eukaryota; Metazoa; Chordata; Lepidosauria; Squamata; Lacertidae. The record is from RNAcentral.
GGGCAAAGCAAAACAUUUAAUUUGACAUAGUCCUGCCCACCUGCCAAAGUGACUCUCCCACUUGUCAUCCCAUCCACCUGUCAAAGUGGCCCCUGGUAGUUGGGGACGUCAGAAUCUGGCUCCGCACAAAUCCAGUUCUCCACUGCUAGUGCGGACAACACCCAAGCUAAAUGGACCAGUGGUAUAAGACAGCAUCUUGUGUCCUGUCCCCCCCGGAAAAUCCCAACAAAUGUUCUAAAAAUUAAGAUGGAUUGCAAUUAUUAUUAUUUUUUUAAAAAGAAAAAACUAUAUUAUAGCCGGAUUCAUUUGCAAAUAAUUCUGCUUGUGAUGUGGGCUACAUUUGCUCCUUGCUGCUAUCUUCUGAAGCAAUUCAUGACCUCAUUUUGAUAGACCCUAUUGUGUGACUUGGAUGUUCUCCAGAUGGAGGGAAUCCUCAUGAGGUUUGCAGGUCAUAGGCAGAUGUUUGUGAUUCUUCACCAGUCUCAGGGCUGCCUAUUCUCUGAUAAGCAGAUGAUCACUCAAAAGGCUAUGAUCCCUGAUGUGGACAGAGGGUGCUGCGUUUUCAGCCCGACAAGCAAUGUCAAACUAAGGCCAGCAGUGUAGGCAUGUGUUGCAUCAUGUAUCUAAGUGUGCCAUAUUCAUUUCUUGACAAGGCUUAUUUUGAAUGAACUCUGCCAGAACUCAACCCUGGAACAUGUGAAUGAAUUAACAGAAGAUGUGCUGAAUUCCUUUACAUUACUAGUUUCUCAUGGACUGGCUGGAUGCAGAGGAGUGGUGGGAGGUACCAGCUGGGGCACCCUCAAGGGAAGAAGACUCGGAGCCAGGGGAUUGGUGGUGGGACAUGGUCAGAGGGAGAAGAAGGAACAAACUGGGAGGAGGAUGUGUCAGAAGCUGAAGAGGUAACAGGGUUUAGUGAGUGGGGAGAUGCUGGGGCAGAGAGCAGUUCAGACUCAGAGGCAGAAGCAGAGGAUAGAGAGGAGGGGAGCCAAGAGGCAGCAAUGAGUCAGGUUGGUGAGGAAGUCAGGCUGUCUCCCCCUCCUGUGGUGACCAGCUCCCCUCUCUCCUGGCCUCCCAGAACCCAGAGAAGUAGGAAGAGGGUGGAGCAAAGACAGACAAGAUGAAGGAGCCUCAGAUUACUUGGGAAGGAACCAGGGGAGGAGGAGACUUAGGGAGCUGUGGGAAGGCAGGGUACUUUAGUCCUUGCAACUGCCUCAUUGGGCAAGACCUACUAGAAAGAGUUAAACAAUACAGGCUAGAAUUGAUUACCUGUGCCUAUGUAUGUGAAAAGACUUCAAUCUCUUUCGGAGGAGAGAUUCCCCGCUAUGUCUUACACAGAAUGGGAACAGACCAAAUGCUGGAAGGCUGGCAUCCAACGCCUCUUGUCCCCAUAUCAAUUACAAGAUCUUCAGGUGACCAUGAAGAUGGAGAAGAGGCACUUGAGAGACUAUCUCUUUAGGUCCGAUGCAGAAAGGGAUUUAACCAUGAUUGCUUCUACCAAGAGCUCACCAUGGUUCCCACAUAUCAAAACGGAGCAUGCCCGUGCCAGAUACCUGACAAAGCUCCCACUUGCCAUACUGAGAAUCGCUUUUACAGAACUACGAUUCCAAUCGAUGCCCUUGGCACUGUUGGAUAGACAGUACGGCAAAGUACAUUACAAAGAGAGAUUCUGUCUAUGUGGACACCCCUGUGUCGAGGACAUGUGCCAUUAUUUAUUGCAGUGCCCGUUAUAUAUAGACCCAAGAGACCGAUUUAUAAAAGCCCCUGUUUACGAAUGGAACACAUCUGAUGAGCGACACCGAUGACUUUAUUACUUAUAAAGUAGCACUCUAUGCACUGUGUAGAGCUGCAUGCUUGCUAGAUCAGGAGGCACCUACUUCUCUUAAAGAUAUAUUUACUGAGUUGCUUGAGAAAAAUGAAGAUGGCCUGUCUAGUCAUCAUAUUGCAUGAUGUAACUGCAUGUGAUCUCGCAACUGGCCUUCAUUUUAUUUUAUACCUUGGGCUAGGCCUGUACAUUGCUUAUGUGUGGAAGCUCCUAGUUAUAGAGCGAAGAUAUCAUCAGGACAUUUCCCAACAAUGAAGUGUUCAAAGAGUAAAUACAACAAUGGUGAGAAGUGCUUGAAUAGGUGGGGGGAAAGAUUCCAGAGGUAUGGUUAAAUAUUUGUUUUAAAGAUUAUUAAAACUGUAGUCUACAAACUCAUUUUUGGAUUGAGCCCACUUUCAUCCUCUUGACUUGAGCUGCAACCGAGGCACCUCAAAUCCAAGUAUUUUGGUUUUACAUGUCAGGUUUCCUAUCAAAGGCCUUGUAAAUUUAUCUUUGGGGUGUGCUGGGAUGGCUCUUAAGCAGAGUGAAGCAACUGCUUUGGGCAGCAGAUGGCAGGGCUCAAAAUGGAAUUAAGGCAAAAGGCUGUAUUACAUAUGUACUGCAAAAAUAAAAAUAUUCAAGCCAUUAAAUGUAAAACUGCACUCUUGUAACCAUGUGACAGCCAAGGGUGUUAUUCAACAUAGCACUAAGUUGGAUGUGUGUGUGAAUGGAAUGAAAUACCGUACUGGGAAUUGUAGUUCUAUGAAGGGCAAACUACAGUAUCCAGGAUUCUUUGGAAAGGGGAGAUCGGUGCUUUAAAUGUAUGGUGUGUACACAGCCUUGGUUUGACUCUAUUAAUGCAAGCGUUUUAGUCAUUUCCCCUUGGUAUUAUUUGUCUUUUGUGUAGGGACUGCAAGGCUUGUCUGUGAUAAGAGGUGAUCUGUAGUGGAUCCUCCAUAAGCUCCAUAAUGAACUGCUUUACACCAAGUCGGCCCCAUGGCCCAUCUCACCCAGUACAGUCAUACCUUAGAUCUCAAACGCCUUGGCUCCCAAACAAAUCGGCUCCCGAACGAUUGAAACCCGGAAGUGAGUGUUCUGGUUUUUGAACAUUCUUUUGGAAGCCGAAGGUCUGACGGGGCUUCUGUGGCUUCCAAUUGGCUGCAGGAGCUUCCUGCAGCCAAUCAGAAGACACGCUUUGGUUUCCGAAUGUUUUGGAAGUCGAACGGACUUCCGGAACAGAUUCCGGACUUUAUUGACUACCCUGAGUAGCAGCAGUACUCCAGGAUUGCAGAGAGGUCAGUUACAUCACCUGCUACUUCAUCUUUAAAAUUGAGAGGCUAGGAGGUUGAAUUAGGACCUUCUUCACGCAAAAUAUGUCUUGCUCUACUACCAAGCUAUGGUCUUUUUCUAAAUAAUAAUUUUGGGGGUUUGGGGUGGGUGCUGAGUGCUGAACUAACACUCUUGCCAAGCAGCCUCCCCUUGUUUAUUCAUUGGAGAGGUAUGUUGAUAGUUGGCCAACAGAAGUGCUGCUUCUGAAAGGGGGAAAGAGUCUGUAGUCUCUUCUGUACUCUUAAAAGGUCUCAGGAAUACUUUGACAUUGACCUCUCGUUGUCCAAGGAUUUUGUGUGCUGGUUUGAGUCAACAUGUUGAUAAUGAUCAUAGCUGGGCUGCUUUCUCUUCUGCAGUCACUUCCUGCUCAUGCGGUGUAGGUCUUUCUGAAUAAACACACGGGGGAAUAUUUGCUCUGCAUCCAAUAAACAGGCCCAUGAUGUUUACCUGAAGUAAACAUUGUAUCUCGGCCUGUGAGCCAUCUGUACAAGAAUCUAGAUGAUGGAACAGAUGGAUCAGAAUUAGAAAUAUGGAUCCAGUCUGCCUUGUUUGACCAUUAAAAUGUUUGCUCCUUCAAAAAGAGGGGAGUGAGUAGCUUCAGCAAAACAUUCCUUGUUUGUUACCUCUCCCUGGUUUUUGAAUGAGAUAGCUACGUGACUCUACGGACAACUAGCAGGCUCUGAUUUCUAAACAGGAGGUGGUCCAGGGCACCAUUUCAGAGAUUCCUUUCUCAGCCAGUGAACUAAUGCUUGGAUUCUGGAAGGCUGCAACAGAUCUUUUGGAAACAAAUCUUAUGCAUGCCCAGUUAGUGGACAGAUAGCUUCCCUAUCAGUCCUAAACAAAGUUGACAUCUUCCAGUGUUUUGACUCUCUUUGAAUAUGUGCUCUUGAAGUAAAAUCUUGAAGUAAAAGUCUUCUCAUAGAUGAAGCCUUACUGAUACCAUUCUAUAAAUCUGUCAUGUGCCUGCAUUUGGAAUACAGUGGUACCUCAGGUUACAUAUGCUUCAGGUUACAGACUCCGCUAACCCAGAAAUAUUACCUUGGGUUAAGAACUUUGCUUCAGGAUGAGAACAGAAAUCGUGCUCCGGCGGCGAGGCGGCAGCGGGAGGCCCCAUUAGCUAAAGCGGUGCUUCAGGUUAAGAACAGUUUCAGGUUAAGAAUGGACCUCCGGAACGAAUUAAGUACUUAACCCGAGGUACCACUGUACUGUGUACAGUUCUGGUUACCUCAAAAAUAAUACUGUAGAACUGGAAAUUAUCUAGGGGGUGGAGCAAUUCCCCUUGAGGAAAGGUUGCAGAGUUUGAGACUUCAGUUUAGGAAAAAAGGCAAGUAAGAUGAUGUAUAAAAGUAUUUAAAAUUAUGUAUGGCAGGGAGAAAGUGGAGAGAAUAAAGUUUUUUGCCCCACCCCACUGCUCAUAACACUAGAACUGAAUGUUGGAAAAUUUAGGACAGAUAACAGAAAAAAAACAUUCUUCACACAGAACAUAGUUAAAAUACAGAACUCUCUCUCCCACAGGAGGCAACAAUGGAGACCAAUCUAGAUGACUUUAAAAGAGGAUUAGACAAAUUUACGGAGAAGAGGGCUACUGAAGGCUACUAGCCAUAGUUGGAGGCAGCAAUGCUUUUGAAUACCAGUUGCUGGAAACCACAGAAGGAAAGAGGGCUCUUGUGCUUGGGUCUUGCUUGUGGGAUGGCCACUGUGAGAACAGGAUGCUGGAGCAGAUGGGCCAUUGGCCUGAUUCAGCAGGCUCUUCUUCUACCUUUGCAAUCUCCAGCAACAUCUGGAGAGCACAGGUUGCCCACCCGAGUGUGAGCCGUAACCUGCUCCUCCCACUCCUGCCUGGACAUGUCACAUAGCUUGCCAUCUGUGGCAUGGAUGCUGCAGUUGGCCACCCGUGUGUCAGCAUGUUAGACUGUCAGUCAAGUUUCUUUUGAGUGCAGGAACAGCUGGCAGAGCUGACUGGGUGGGUGGGUCUCUCCAUUUAUCAAUGUCACCCUCUGGGGUGGUCCUCUGCGUCGCUGCUCUUCCUGCUGCACUCAGACUCUCUUUCAGAUGUUCACUUCAAAGGGGUCCCAAUGAGAUGCAUGGUACCGAAUAAACCACAGGCUCUGC